UCGAGAAUUUUUCUCAAUGGGCGAAAGCCUGAAGGAGCGACGCCGCGUGGGGGAUGAAUGGCUUCGGCCCGUAAACCCCUGUCAUUUGCGAACAAGUUGCUUCACUUAACACGUGAAGCAUUGAUUGUAGCGGAAGAGGAAGGGACGGCUAACUCUGUGCCAGCAGCCGCGGUAAUACAGAGGUCCCAAGCGUUGUUCGGAUUCACUGGGCGUAAAGGGUGCGUAGGCGGCUGAGUAAGUCUGGCGUGAAAUCUCCGAGCCCAACUCGGAAACUGCGUUGGAUACUAUUCAGCUCGAGGAAUGGAGGGGAGACUGGAAUACUUGGUGUAGCAGUGAAAUGCGUAGAUAUCAAGUGGAACACCAGUGGCGAAGGCGAGUCUCUGGACAUUUCCUGACGCUGAGGCACGAAAGCCAGGGGAGCAAACG
Molecule: ribosomal RNA, 426 nt
Filed under: uncultured bacterium
Lineage: Bacteria
Description: bacterial SSU rRNA
Rfam family: Bacterial small subunit ribosomal RNA
Source: RNAcentral